Acinonyx jubatus (cheetah) is the source of this 2332-nucleotide long non-coding RNA. RefSeq lists it as uncharacterized. The record is from RefSeq and is a predicted model, not a curated record. The transcript has 5 exons. Lineage: Eukaryota; Metazoa; Chordata; Mammalia; Carnivora; Felidae.
AAGAAGGGACAGCUCCUUCUCAUCUCCCGUCUCUCGUUGGCCAAAGUUGGCUCCGGAAGGGUGAACCCCUCUGCGCAUCUUCUGGAUGUGGGGCGCAGACCCCGGCUGAUGGCUCACAGCACAGUGCUCCACCUGAGCCUGGACGUGGCAGGGAGCCGGAGCCUGGGUCUGCUCUGGUGGGACGGGGGUGCCGGAGCUGCUUCGGUGCCCCUGCCGAGGGUGCGAUGGAGCCUGUGCGGGACCCCAGACCUCGCUGCAGGAGAGCUGGCAAAGACGAGAGGUUACGGGGACAGCGGCUGGCACUCUCCUCUGAGUAGAUGGCCAGGUCGUCUUCGGGGGAGGCGGGUCGGUAGUGGCGAUGUGGGUUGUGGGGGUCUGUCCUCUCUCUGGUGACUCAGAGACUUCCGUGAACUUCGUCUUGUGCCGUCACCAUCUCAACCUGUGGCUUCCAAGGUCACUGCAAUAGGGGAAAUGAGGAAGGAACGAAGCUCCGGGGCUUUUUACCUCCUCCGCCAUAAGGGGACACACUCGCUUCCGCCCAUCAUCCGUGUGGGGGGCUCAAAGGCCCCAGGCUGACUUCAGCUGGAGUGAGAAAUGUAGAGCAGCACCUGCAGGGGUCUUGUGAUCUCCGCCUGGCUCUCUGCACCCCCACCUCCUCCCGCUUCCCUCUCUGCAUCCUGUAUGGGAGGAGUUUACACAGGUGGGCAGUGUUUUUUCACAUCUGUUGGGAUCCCCGGCGGCACCCCCUUUGGAACCAGCCCUGGAUCAGGCUUCCUGCAGCAGCCCCUGGUCAAGGACAGCCCAGCGUGGGCACUGAUUCGACCCCCUGUGUGAUUGGAUACCUUUAGUGGGGGACUUGGCUGGACGGACCCCCCCCCCCCCCCCCCCAGUGUGGGCAAAAUUUUCGAAGAGCCCGCUGUCCUCUGCUUUACCGCGUCCUGUGGAAGAAGACAAAAGGGGGGCAUCGCCACUAACUACAGAGAGCAGGGCGUCCAGUCUCCGUCUUGCAGGAGGAGCUGGGCCAGGCUGAAGGGAACAUUGGCCUCUUUCCUGUUGAUGGUACACAGCAGGCUCAUCCUCCAGAGAUGCCACCCGGGAGAGCCCAGCGGGGGCAGCUCUGAGGUUGCCGGCAUGGCCCAGCGUAUGGCCAACGCAGGGAAUCAGGUGCCUGGGGACUCAGGGGCCGCCUCAAGUCUAUGUGAAAGAAAUGAUAACGGGAUGCUUGUGGAUGAAGAUGGGCUUAUCUCUUGCCUACAAAGCUGGGGUUUUCCGCCAAGAUGUUUCAGUCACUUCUGCUCCUGUUUCGAUGACCAGAGCAAAUCACAGGGGAUGGCGGCCUUCCAGGAGGGGCUGAGAUGUACCAUAUUACCACGUGACCAGAAGGGAAAACCAUGAAAUAUGUGAACAGUGCUCGUGACGGUCCAUAUCCUUUCCUUCUUCUGGAUCCUUUCCUGGUUUCCGAAUUCUGCGCUUCUAAGAUGGGAGUCAGAAACUCACUGUGGUGGACAGGAUAAUACUCCACACAAAGAUGUCCACGUCUUAAUCCCCAGAACCCGAUCAACAACCCCCUUUGGCCUAUGUGGUAAUGCCUCCGAGACUUUCACCAACGUCAUGACUUCGGAUUCAGAGCAUGGUGCCACGAGUUCACCAGAACUGGGCUGCCCCCACUGAUGAGUAUUUCAGUGUCUUUUGCUAUGUGACACCCAGCGACAUACGGCCACAGCAUUUAUCUCGUGUUCACCGGCCUUCCCGGAGACUGGGUGUACGAUGGCCAGGCCGAUCUGGGCUGUGCUCUGCUGGAGGUUCUGGUUCAGCCUGCGGGUCGGGCUCAGGUCCAGGUUCUGGGCCAGAGGGACGGCAGCUCCCGCAGGGACGCUUGGGUCACGGUGGAUCACCGGAGCACAGAAGCCAGCACAAUGGCAGCCAGGCUCACUUUGUCUCUGCUCCUGUUAGGACAGCUAACACCCCAUGGACUAGAGCAGGGCACGCGGUUAAGCUGAAGCCAGGGUGUGGCAAAGAGGGGGAUGCAGGGCUGGCACUGGGGGUGCCAAGAGUUGGUCCUAAUUCAACUGUCACAAUAGAGAAGGAAGUGUAGGCUCGGGGAAAUUCAGGUUAUUUUCCUGGAUCUCAUGGUAAGUCAGUCGUAUGGGUUGAGGCCACUUCUCUAUUCGUUACCCUACGUUGCCAGCACGGCAGGCUCACGGAAACUUCCGGCAGGUAACCUUCUGUGCACUACCCCCUCAUCUUGCCCUGGCCUUGUCUUUCUGUUUCGGGGGCUUGUCUGUAUCCAAACUGCAGCGUGUCACCAGCUCAGCUGUCCGUCCAUCCCUCU